AGAUUGAACGCUGGCGGCAGGCCUAACACAUGCAAGUCGAGCGGCAGCACGGGUACUUGUACCUGGUGGCGAGCGGCGGACGGGUGAGUAAUGCCUAGGAAUCUGCCUGGUAGUGGGGGAUAACGCACGGAAACGGACGCUAAUACCGCAUACGUCCUACGGGAGAAAGCAGGGGACCUUCGGGCCUUGCGCUAUCAGAUGAGCCUAGGUCGGAUUAGCUAGUUGGUGAGUAUGGCUCGACCAAGGCGACGAUCCGUAACUGGUCUGAGAGGAUGAUCAGUCACACUGGAACUGAGUACACGGUCAGACUCCGUACGGAGCAGCGAGGUGGGUAAUAGUUAGGACUAAGUGGGGACAAAGCCUAGAUCCGAGCCAGUCGCCCGGUCGUAGGUGGUUAGAAAGUAA
Molecule: ribosomal RNA, 405 nt
Filed under: uncultured soil bacterium
Lineage: Bacteria
Description: bacterial SSU rRNA
Rfam family: Bacterial small subunit ribosomal RNA
Source: RNAcentral